GUUCUGUUAACCCAUCCCCUCA
RNAcentral lists this microRNA (22 nucleotides) under Homo sapiens (human). RNAcentral describes it as "hsa-miR-4652-3p". Lineage: Eukaryota; Metazoa; Chordata; Mammalia; Primates; Hominidae. The record is from miRBase by way of RNAcentral.